Molecule: non-coding RNA, 30 nt
Filed under: Mus musculus (house mouse)
Lineage: Eukaryota; Metazoa; Chordata; Mammalia; Rodentia; Muridae
Source: RNAcentral
UAUCUGCCAAUACUCUGAAGUCCCUGUGUC